This 763-nucleotide long non-coding RNA is filed under the name Lepidothrix coronata (blue-crowned manakin). RNAcentral describes it as "lncRNA (ENSLCOG00000005767.1)". Lineage: Eukaryota; Metazoa; Chordata; Aves; Passeriformes; Pipridae. The record is from RNAcentral.
CCGUAAUUUUCCACAGUUAGCACCUUAAAACGUCAGGUUUGUUGAUUGGACUCAGAAAUACUACACUCAGCUUCACACCAAGGCAACGUUGGAUACAAUACAGGUGUUGUACUGAUUUACCUACGGUUGUAUAAAAUACUGGUAGUACAACUCUCUAAUGUAAACAAGCACAAAGUCAUUACUGGAAGCAAGGCAACAGGAAGAACUGCCCCAGAAACUUUAUUCCAAGAGCUCCUGCGUUUCUGACAGCACGGUGGGGUAAGCAAACCAUCUGCUUUCAUCUCCCUGGCCCCUGAGCCCUUCUCAGGCUGAAGGCUCCCCUACUAGGAAGCCCAGAGGAGGCUCCUUUUUCAGUCCUUCCUCGAGGGAGCAGAGCCAGGCAGAGCUGCUUGGCCAAAAUAGAACUUUCUGGCUGGUGUCCGUGCUCAGAAGAUAUCACAACCACUGCGCUGCCAAACGUGAGGAUGGCUGAAUGUGAACAGGGACUGAUGGAAGGUGUUGGGAGCAACCACGACAGCAGCGGGCAUUAGAAAGACUGAAUGCUUCAUUCCCUCCUGUGAAAACUGUGAGGAAUUUAACCCCAAAAGAUGGUGGUAAGACAAGGAGCUGCCCCAAUUAGCAAUCUCCUCCAGCACUUACCCUGCAGUCAAAUCCAAGAACAUCUGUUUAAACCCACACUGGAUAGCUGCCAGAUUAGUGGAAAGGAUAUGGUAUAAAGAAGACUUUUGUUUCCUCAGAGCAAGGAGAAAAAAUAAGUUACAAG